ACGAGUUAGGGUCUUCUAGGCCCGACCUCCCAACCCUUUGCUUACUUGACCAUUGUUGCUUCGGCGAGCCCGUCUUGACUGACCGCCGGGGGACCGUAAGACGUCCUCUGGUCCGUGCUCGUCGGUGGCCAACUCUUAUAAAUUCUUAACUAAACGUGUCAUUAUCUAAGUACUAUUGUUAAUAAAAGCA
Molecule: unclassified non-coding RNA, 190 nt
Filed under: uncultured Exophiala
Lineage: Eukaryota; Fungi; Ascomycota; Eurotiomycetes; Chaetothyriales; Herpotrichiellaceae
Description: sequence contains ITS1
Source: RNAcentral